UUAAAACUCUUGCUGUCCCUCAUAUAUAUAUAAAGGUUGUGAUUUCACACAGCUCCAGCGUUACCAGUGAGAGGCUCUGACGGGACAUGCUAACGUGGAACAGAAUCUCACUGCCCUGUUGCUGUCACCCAGAGGGGUUUCCUUAAAAUGCUGAGUAGCCAUCUUCAGUCCUGAAAAUAGGAGACUGCAGCAUCCUGCCCUGCCCUGGCUGCAGCAAAUCAUCCUUCGAUUACCAGCGACAUACAAAUGGGUUUGUGAGCGCGUAUUCCCAGCAUUUCUGGCAUUUUCUGAGGUCUUCAAACCAACCACACCUUUCUCAACCUAAAAGUCAUGGAACACUUCUCUUUCGCUCCCAGAAAAGAAAGGAGAAGAAAGAUUUUGUGUCUCACUCUCCACGCAUCCCGACCCAUCCCUCCAUCCAAACUCUCCACAGGGAGAAAGAGAUCAGGAAGACAGCACUCAGCACCUUCUAGGGGAAAUGUGAGCAAUCAGGUAGUCUGACCCCUUCAUUCUACAAAUGACUAAACUAAGGUUAGAAAGGUUGAGUUGACGAGCCCAUGAUACAGGCUAGUGGCAGAGGCUGAAUCAGGACUCUAUUCCCGGUUUAUCACUUGUUACCAAAA
Long non-coding RNA from Physeter macrocephalus (sperm whale), 623 nucleotides. RefSeq lists it as uncharacterized. Lineage: Eukaryota; Metazoa; Chordata; Mammalia; Artiodactyla; Physeteridae. The transcript has 3 exons. The record is from RefSeq and is a predicted model, not a curated record.